This 490-nucleotide ribosomal RNA is filed under the name uncultured bacterium. RNAcentral describes it as "bacterial SSU rRNA". It matches the Rfam family "Bacterial small subunit ribosomal RNA", at positions 29 to 512 of the family's 1533-position model. The record is from RNAcentral.
AACGAACGCUGGCGGCGCGCCUAAUACAUGCAAGUCGAGCGAGAAGGUGUAGCAAUACACUUGUAAAGCGGCGAACGGGUGAGGAAUACAUGGGUAAUCUACCAUCGAGUGGGGAAUAACCAACCGAAAGGUUGGCUAAUACCGCGUACGCCUCCGAGUCUUCGGGUUCGGAGGGAAAGCUGCACUGUGAGUGUAGCGCUCUUUGAUGAGCUCAUGUCCUAUCAGCUUGUUGGUAGGGUAACGGCCUACCAAGGCUUUGACGGGUAGCUGGUCUGAGAGGACGAUCAGCCACACUGGCACUGCGACACGGGCCAGACUCCUACGGGAGGCAGCAGUAAGGAAUAUUGCGCAAUGGGCGAAAGCCUGACGCAGCGACGCCGCGUGGGGGAUGAAGGUCUUCGGAUUGUAAACCCCUUUCGGGAGGGAAGAUGGAGCGAGCAAUCGUUCGGACGGUACCUCCAGAAGCAGCCAUGGCCAACUUCGUGCCAGC